GUGACCUCAAAUCAGGUAGGACUACCCGCUGAACUUAAGCAUAUCAAUAAGCGGAGGAAAAGAAACUAACAAGGAUUCCCCUAGUAACUGCGAGUGAAGCGGGAAAAGCUCAAAUUUAAAAUCUGGCGGUCUUUUGGCUGUCCGAGUUGUAAUCUAGAGAAGUGUUAUCCGCGCUGGACCGUGUACAAGUUUCCUGGAAUGGAGCAUCAUAGAGGGUGAGAAUCCCGUCUUUGACAUGGACAACCAGGGCUUUGUGAUGCGCUCUCAAAGAGUCGAGUUGUUU
This 283-nucleotide ribosomal RNA is filed under the name uncultured Cortinarius. Its description in RNAcentral is "partial 28S ribosomal RNA". It matches the Rfam family "Eukaryotic large subunit ribosomal RNA", at positions 1 to 275 of the family's 3401-position model. The record is from RNAcentral. Lineage: Eukaryota; Fungi; Basidiomycota; Agaricomycetes; Agaricales; Cortinariaceae.